UGUAAUUUCGGGAUUUUUCAAAAAGUUUGAUUUUUGCUGAAAUUUUUUGCAUGAUCUGGUUUGAAAUAGCAUUUUUAUGCAUUAUAAUGUUAUUAGAAAUUUUUCCGCUAUUUUUACAUAUUUUUUCAAAAAUUUUGUUCAUGUAUGCAAUUUUUUUUUGAUAUAGGAAAAUGACGUUUUUGCUCGUAUUGGUGGUGUUGGUGUUAAUGGCUGGGAGACGGAGCCGUGAUAGUGGUAGAGGUCGUCAUGGGGUUU
Molecule: long non-coding RNA, 255 nt
Filed under: Ananas comosus (pineapple)
Lineage: Eukaryota; Viridiplantae; Streptophyta; Magnoliopsida; Poales; Bromeliaceae
Description: long non-coding RNA (ACOM_LNC013125)
Source: RNAcentral